Molecule: long non-coding RNA, 850 nt
Organism: Helianthus annuus (common sunflower)
Lineage: Eukaryota; Viridiplantae; Streptophyta; Magnoliopsida; Asterales; Asteraceae
Exons: 3
Source: RefSeq, a predicted model, not a curated record
GGGUAGUGGUUUGACUGAAUCAAGAAUAGGCACAGGCUAUGAAAUUUGUACAUGAUGCAUUAAAAGUUGUACUGUUGACUACUUAUUAUGGAAAUGAGCCAGCUAGAGUGUGAUGUAGGAUAUGGUUUACUGCUGGAAAUGAUUGAUACAGGUUCACUGCACCAAUGAGAAACCUUCCCAUGUGGUUGUGGAAGACAUCCGGACACCUUCCACAUGAUCCAACAUAAACUACAGCCAUGUUUGGAUCUUGUUUCAUCAUUUUCUGUAAAGCUCACUGAUCUUGUCAUAUAUAUAAACCCCACAUAUUUAUGUCAUCUCUCUCUCUCUCUCUCUCUCUCUCUCUAGCAAUUUAAUAAAAAUGUCACCUUUUCUGUUCUGGAGUUUGCUCCCAGUUUUGCUUCUUGUGUUGAUGUUCAGUUCCCACAAAAAUAUAGGGUUUUUGAACAGUGGUGUAUAGAGCUAUAGAUUAUACAUACAUGUGGUGAAGGGGGUGCACACUGUAGCAAAAUUCAAGAAAUCAGUCUUGUUAUUUACCAAAUGCAUUAAAGGACCAUGCUUCAUUAGCUUUCAAUGCUUACUUCCAAAAGUUUAAGCAUAGUGGUGCCUCUUGCUACUUUCAUAGAUCAUGACCACCGAAAAAGACCCGAGUUAUGGUUCAUGCCACUAUGAUUAUACUCCUUGAUCCAAUGUGACAACAAAGAGGGCAAAUGAACUUGCAACCAAGAGGGCAAAUGAACCUGCUAAAAUGCGCCACUUUAGGCUUCUGUAACCUUGAUAAACUUUGGGCGUAUGAACCAUCAUGUGGCCAUGUGGUAGCUAUAAAAACAGAACAGAAGCUAUGUUAAACAAA